Long non-coding RNA from Perognathus longimembris pacificus (Pacific pocket mouse), 152 nucleotides. RefSeq lists it as uncharacterized. The record is from RefSeq and is a predicted model, not a curated record. The transcript has 2 exons. Lineage: Eukaryota; Metazoa; Chordata; Mammalia; Rodentia; Heteromyidae.
GCACAAAAAGCCUAUGGAGAGUAUAAGGUCCUGAGUUCAAACUCCAAGACCAACACACACAUGAAAAUUUACACACACACACACACACACACACACACACACACACUACCCAUUCUUCACCUGCAGGACUCCAUAAACAUAUUCCAUGUUUU